CCUACGGGCGGCUGCAGUGGGGAAUAUUGGACAAUGGGGGGAACCCUGAUCCAGCCAUGCCGCGUGUGUGAAGGAGGCCCUCGGGUUGUAAAGCACUUUCAGUGAGGAAGAACGCCUGGUGGUUAAUACCCAUCAGGAAAGACAUCACUCACAGAAGAAGCACCGGCUAACUCCGUGCCAGCAGCCGCGGUAAUACGGAGGGUGCGAGCGUUAAUCGGAAUUACUGGGCGUAAAGCGCGCGUAGGUGGCUUGAUAAGCCGGUUGUGAAAGCCCCGGGCUCAACCUGGGAACGGCAUCCGGAACUGUCAAGCUAGAGUGCAGGAGAGGAAGGUAGAAUUCCCGGUGUAGCGGUGAAAUGCGUAGAGAUCGGGAGGAAUACCAGUGGCGAAGGCGGCCUUCUGGACUGACACUGACACUGAGGUGCGAAAGCGUGGGUAGCAAACAGGAUUAGAUACCCGUGUAGUC
RNAcentral lists this ribosomal RNA (465 nucleotides) under Vreelandella stevensii. Its description in RNAcentral is "partial 16S ribosomal RNA". It matches the Rfam family "Bacterial small subunit ribosomal RNA", at positions 338 to 795 of the family's 1533-position model. The record is from RNAcentral. Lineage: Bacteria; Pseudomonadati; Pseudomonadota; Gammaproteobacteria; Oceanospirillales; Halomonadaceae.